GGGGAUUUAGCUCAGCGGUAGAGCGCUUGCCUAGCAAGCAGGAGUCACUGGGUUCGGUCCCCAGCUCUG
RNAcentral lists this transfer RNA (69 nucleotides) under Rattus norvegicus (Norway rat). It matches the Rfam family "tRNA". Rfam says of the family: Transfer RNA (tRNA) molecules are approximately 80 nucleotides in length. Their secondary structure includes four short double-helical elements and three loops (D, anti-codon, and T loops). Further hydrogen bonds mediate the characteristic L-shaped molecular structure. tRNAs have two regions of fundamental functional importance: the anti-codon, which is responsible for specific mRNA codon recognition, and the 3' end, to which the tRNAs corresponding amino acid is attached (by aminoacyl-tRNA synthetases). tRNAs cope with the degeneracy of the genetic code in two manners: having more than one tRNA (with a specific anti-codon) for a particular amino acid; and 'wobble' base-pairing, i.e. permitting non-standard base-pairing at the 3rd anti-codon position. Lineage: Eukaryota; Metazoa; Chordata; Mammalia; Rodentia; Muridae. The record is from Rfam by way of RNAcentral.